GACGAACGCUGGCGGCGUGCCUAAUACAUGCAAGUAGAACGCUGAAGAGAGGAGCUUGCUCUUCUUGGAUGAGUUGCGAACGGGUGAGUAACGCGUAGGUAACCUGCCUUGUAGCGGGGGAUAACUAUUGGAAACGAUAGCUAAUACCGCAUAACAAUGGAUGACACAUGUCAUUUAUUUGAAAGGGGCAAUUGUUCCACUACAAGAUGGACCUGCGUUGUAUUAGCUAGUAGGUGAGGUAAUGGCUCACCUAGGCGACGAUACAUAGCCGACCUGAGAGGGUGAUCGGCCACACUGGGACUGAGACACGGCCCAGACUCCUACGGGAGGCAGCAGUAGGGAAUCUUCGGCAAUAGGGGCAACCCUGACCGAGCAACGCCGCGGGAGUGAAGAAGGUUUUCGGAUCGUAAAGCUCUGUUGUAAGUCAAGAACGGGUGUGAGAGUGGAAAGUUCACACUGUGACGGUAGCUUACCAGAAAGGGACGGCUAACUACGUG
This 497-nucleotide ribosomal RNA is filed under the name uncultured bacterium. Its description in RNAcentral is "partial 16S ribosomal RNA". It matches the Rfam family "Bacterial small subunit ribosomal RNA", at positions 28 to 507 of the family's 1533-position model. The record is from RNAcentral.